Molecule: ribosomal RNA, 442 nt
Filed under: uncultured bacterium
Lineage: Bacteria
Description: partial 16S ribosomal RNA
Rfam family: Bacterial small subunit ribosomal RNA
Source: RNAcentral
CCUACGGGAGGCAGCAGUGGGGAAUAUUGGGCAAUGGGCGCAAGCCUGACCCAGCAAUGCCGCGUGAAGGAUGAAGGCUUUCGGGUUGUAAAAUUCUGUGACAGGGGACGAGCAGAAGACGGUACCCUGAAAACAAGCCAGGGCGAACUACGUGCGAGCAGCCGCGGUAAUACGUAGGUGGCAAGCGUUGUCCGGAAUUACUGGGCGUAAAGGGCGUGUAGCCGGGGAGGCAAGUCAGAUGUGAAAUCUGGAGGCUCAACCUCCAAAUUGCAUUUGAAACUGUUUUUCUUGAGUACUGGAGAGGCAGACGGAAUUCCUUGUGUAGCGGUGAAAUGCGUAGAUAUAAGGAGGAACACCAGUGGCGAAGGCGGUCUGCUGGACAGCAACUGACGGUGAGGCGCGAAAGCGUGGGGAGCAAACAGGAUUAGAUACCCCAGUAGUC